UUAACAACAGAUGAGCUUUCUCCACCAUCUCUUCCCAGUUCUUAGCCUGCAAAGGAAAAGAAUCCUAGUCUUGGAAGAUGAGAGUGCCAAAAGAUGAAGACAGGGGUCUGUGUUCCCACUGGCCACUGAGCCUUUGUGGGGUCUACUGGAUAUUCUAGAAGCUCAAACAGUUUUGUAGAAGAAAGAUGGUUGUGACGUUAGGGAAGAACUGUAGCAACAAUAAGCUAAAAGGUCUUUGAUUUAUCCACCUGUGAUAUUUUAUCUGAGGCGGAGUUGCAUUGUCUUCACAUUGCAUAGUGUCAGGAACUUCACAGGAGGUCAUUAGGACACACAGAGAGACAACCAAGGAUGUGCUCCACAGAGGAAAAACAAUGUGAGGACACAGCAAGAAGAUGGCCAUCUGCAAACCAAGAAGGGAAGCUUCAGGAGAAACCAGUCUAGCCAAUACUUUGAUCUUGGACUUGUAACCUCCAGAAC
This is a long non-coding RNA of Canis lupus familiaris (dog), 477 nucleotides long. RefSeq lists it as uncharacterized. The record is from RefSeq and is a predicted model, not a curated record. The transcript has 4 exons. NCBI's taxonomy places the organism in Eukaryota, Metazoa, Chordata, Mammalia, Carnivora, Canidae.